GGGCCCGUAGCUUAGUCUGGUAAAGCGUCGGGCUUUUAACCCGAAGAUCGGGGGUUCGAAUCCCCCCGGGCCCG
This 74-nucleotide transfer RNA is filed under the name Candidatus Nanobsidianus stetteri. Its description in RNAcentral is "tRNA-Lys". It matches the Rfam family "tRNA". From Rfam's summary of the family: Transfer RNA (tRNA) molecules are approximately 80 nucleotides in length. The record is from RNAcentral. Lineage: Archaea; Nanobdellati; Nanobdellota; Candidatus Nanoarchaeia; Nanoarchaeales; Nanopusillaceae. RNAcentral also lists the same sequence under 2 other names.